GUGCUCAUUUCAGCAGCACAUGUACUAAAAUUGGAACAAUACAGACAGGAUUAGCAUGGCCCCUGUGCAAGGAUGAGAUGCAAAUUUGUGAAGUGUUCCAUAUUUUU
Molecule: small nuclear RNA, 107 nt
Filed under: Saimiri boliviensis boliviensis (Bolivian squirrel monkey)
Lineage: Eukaryota; Metazoa; Chordata; Mammalia; Primates; Cebidae
Source: RNAcentral